GGAAGCUACUGAUAAGAAGAUUGAGCAAAAGAUAGAUCAGAAAAUGGAUGAAAUGAAGAAAGUUCUAUUGGAAGAGAUGCGAAAUAUAGUGAGUGGAUUUUUUUCCUGAUAAGGUAAAAGGGAACUGUUAAUGAGGAAGUUUAAGUGAAUGUGGUGCAAGAAGGGCAAGAAAGUAAAGGGAUCUUACCAUUUCCUAAGGUAGCAGCAAAGGGAAAUUAGAAAGAGCUAGUAAGUGUAUCUUCUUUUAUGGGA
RNAcentral lists this unclassified non-coding RNA (252 nucleotides) under Hevea brasiliensis (rubber tree). The record is from RNAcentral. Lineage: Eukaryota; Viridiplantae; Streptophyta; Magnoliopsida; Malpighiales; Euphorbiaceae.